AGGUGCGUCAGCACCUGUCGUGGGUCUCCAAAACCUUUGUUGAGGGUUCGAGUCCUUCUGCCCCUGCCA
This 69-nucleotide transfer RNA is filed under the name bacterium. RNAcentral describes it as "tRNA-Ser". The record is from RNAcentral.